UCCUACGGGGCGCAGCAGUGAGGAAUAUUGGUCAAUGGGCGGGGGCCUGAACCAGCCAAGCCGCGUGAGGGAAGAAGGUACAGCGGAUCGUAAACCUCUUUUGUCAGGGAACAAAGGCGGGGACUAGUCCCCGGAUGAGGGUACCUGAAGAAAAAGCAUCGGCUAACUCCGUGCCAGCAGCCGCGGUAAUACGGAGGAUGCGAGCGUUAUCCGGAUUUAUUGGGUUUAAAGGGUGCGCAGGCGGCCUGUUAAGUCAGCGGUAAAAGCCCGGGGCUCAACCCCGUCGAGCCGUUGAAACUGGCGGG
This 305-nucleotide ribosomal RNA is filed under the name uncultured bacterium. RNAcentral describes it as "bacterial SSU rRNA". It matches the Rfam family "Bacterial small subunit ribosomal RNA", at positions 337 to 640 of the family's 1533-position model. The record is from RNAcentral.